GACGAACGCUGGCGGCGUGCUUAACACAUGCAAGUCGAACGGUGAAGCGCCUUCCUUUUUGGUGGGUGUGGAUGAGUGGCGAACGGGUGAGUAACACGUGAGUAACCUGCCCCCUUCUUCUGGAUAACCGCAUGAAAGUGUGGCUAAUACGGGAUAUUCUGGGUCUGUCGCAUGAUGGGUCUGGGAAAGAUAUUGUUUCGGUGGGGGAUGGGCUCGCGGCCUAUCAGCUUGUUGGUGGGGUGAUGGCCUACCAAGGCGGUGACGGGUAGCCGGCCUGAGAGGGUGGACGGCCACACUGGGACUGAGACACGGCCCAGACUCCUACGGGAGGCAGCAGUGGGGAAUAUUGCACAAUGGGCGCAAGCCUGAUGCAGCGACGCCGCGUGAGGGAUGGAGGCCUUCGGGUUGUGAACCUCUUUCGCCAGUGAAGCAGGCCUGCCUCGUUUGUGGGUGGGUUGACGGUAGCUGGAUAAGAAGCGCCGGCUAACUACGU
Molecule: ribosomal RNA, 493 nt
Filed under: uncultured bacterium
Lineage: Bacteria
Description: partial 16S ribosomal RNA
Rfam family: Bacterial small subunit ribosomal RNA
Source: RNAcentral